RNAcentral lists this RNase P RNA (362 nucleotides) under Endomicrobium sp. RNAcentral's name for it is "RNase P RNA component class A". It matches the Rfam family "Bacterial RNase P class A". From Rfam's summary of the family: Ribonuclease P (RNase P) is a ubiquitous endoribonuclease, found in archaea, bacteria and eukarya as well as chloroplasts and mitochondria. Its best characterised activity is the generation of mature 5'-ends of tRNAs by cleaving the 5'-leader elements of precursor-tRNAs. Lineage: Bacteria; Pseudomonadati; Elusimicrobiota; Endomicrobiia; Endomicrobiales; Endomicrobiaceae. The record is from RNAcentral.
AAAGACGGGUACGCAAUCGCUUUACAUAGCUAACUAAUUAGCUAUAUUGUAAAGAGGAAAGUCCGAACUUUAACUGCAAAAGGUAUUAGCAAAUAUUGCAGAAAACGGUAGUAGGUAACUCCUAUCGCCCGUGAGGGUAGAGGUGCGAGCAGAGACGUCUUUUUUGGAAACAAAGAAGAUAUCCUUAAUAAAAGGAUAAGUUUUUGCAGUAAUGCAAAAAGUGAAACGGCUAAAUCCUUACUGGAAAGCAAGACUGAAGUUUAGUCGCUUGACUGUUAAAAGUGAUUUUAACAGCAGAGAAAUGAUUGCGCUUUUAAACUUAUUUUAAAAGACAGAACUCGGUGUACAACCCGUCUUUAUUU